RNAcentral lists this ribosomal RNA (465 nucleotides) under uncultured bacterium. Its description in RNAcentral is "partial 16S ribosomal RNA". It matches the Rfam family "Bacterial small subunit ribosomal RNA", at positions 338 to 795 of the family's 1533-position model. The record is from RNAcentral.
CCUACGGGAGGCAGCAGUGGGGAAUAUUGCGCAAUGGGCGAAAGCCUGACGCAGCGACGCCGCGUGAGGGAUGAAGGUCUUCGGAUCGUAAACCUCUGUCAGCAGGGAAGAACGGUCACUGUGCUAAUCAGCAGUGAAUUGACGGUACCUUCAAAGGAAGCACCGGCUAACUCAGUGCCAGCAGCCGCGGUAAUACGGAGGGUGCGAGCGUUAAUCGGAAUUACUGGGCGUAACACGCUCGUAGGCGGUAUGUCAAGUCAAGGGUGAAAUCCCCGGGCUCAACGUGGGAACUGCCUUUGAAACUAGCAAACUAGAGUGUGUGAGAGGAUAGUGGAAUUCCAGGUGAAGGAGUGAAAUCCGUAGAUAUAUGGAGGAACAUCAGUGGCGAAGGCGACUAUCUGGCACAUAACUGACGCUGAGGAGCGAAAGCGUGGGUAGCAAACAGGAUUAGAUACCCGGGUAGUC